CAACCAAAUAAAACUUGGUAAUUCAAAGGCAUGUCGCCUCAUGCCAAGGAGAAUCCAAUUCAUUGUGUAUUGCAUUGCGGAACACACCUAAUAGUUAUUAAUUAUUGAACUUCAUAGUGAAAAUACAUCUUCGUUAAGUAAAAAAAGGAAUACAAAUCAGAACAAUCGAAUUACGAUGGACCUACGGGGCCGGUAAUGGCACUCUGAAAUCAUCUCAAACACUUAUGUAUCUCCAAAUUCACAUAGAUAGAUAUCUAAUUAGUUCAGAUACAUGGAUUAAACUCCAGUGCAUACAGCCAGAAUCACUGGACCUCCGCAUGGCAAAGAUCUUCCGGAUCACAAAUCACAAAAUUGCAAAGUUUAUGCUGCCAUCUUGUAUCCAUAACAUUUGUUAUCCCAUCUUUUUUCAUGGCCGAUGACCCACAUCUGUGGAGUAAUAAAACCGAUGCCAUCCGCAUUGGUAGGCUGGCUCUGAUGUACGCUUAUGACCUGGGCCACUACGUUCGUCUAUAUAGACCCUUUUAUUGCACCGGCCUCCUAUCGCAUACUCCGCAGAUGAUUCUGAAGCCUCUGCCUCUGCUGAACCAUCAUCAUCUGCGGAGUAUGCACCCCACCCCAUAAUUGCAGAGGAGGGCCAGAGAACUCAGACGGAGCCAUCCGCUGUAUUUCUCACAGCUGCACGCCUGUACAGCAUGAUCUUGCUUUCACAGCGUAAUAUGUUGUUCUAGUGAAAACAAGGAGGGGAUAACUGCUCCUGAAUCCACCUUCAGUUCUGCCCCUCAACACCCUGCUUAUGUACAGAGCAUGCUGAAGUCUCACGCCCCUACAGUUCAAAACUUAAACUGAUAGUAACUGUGCAGGACGUGCUGUAUAGCCGAUAGUGGCUUAGAUGUGGACCGAGUAAUUAGGAGAUAAGCGUGACGCCGGCUGAAUCGUGUGGCCGUGUCAAAGAGGUUGUUACUCGUGGCCAUGCUACCAGCUAGUGGCCAUACUACAAUAACAAUCGAGCAGACAAUAUGAUAUUUUACUUCAAGAGUUCCCACACAUAUAGUUUUUGUAUGUCAAGAAUACAGAGAUACCGAGUGCUGAUGUGUACAUGAAUUUAACCCAUUCGCUAGCUGAAAGGAAAAUUAUCUUGCAUAUAUUUUAGAAGUGUUUGAAGUUCAAAUAAAAGGCAAACUGUACCACACCACAUUAAAGCGUACUAUCUAAAAUAUAUCACAUGCACUAAAAUAUUUGAAAUAUCUUUCAACAAAUUUGUUUGAAACAAAUGCUCCAAGAAAUAUUUUCAGCCAUUGUUUAGAUCAUACCUAGUGUUGUGGAAACCCUACCGGUGUAAGGCUCAAAUCAUCAAAUAUCAUCUAGUCCAACACAUGGAUAAAAUUAGGCUGUCCAUUUGUAGCAGCAAGGUGGACCACCAGUUCCUCUACAUGCUUAUACUUCUGUCAAUCAAAAAGGAAAGUCUACCACUGUACAUGUAAUACGGCAGAGUGUCAACGAUCUAGAAAUGGGUAUAACGAUCAUAUUCAGAAGAAACUUAAAAGAACAUAAUCAGAUUAUUUUUUUACACAUUGGUAACAUUUAUUUGGGAUUGAUUUAGCACCAGAGAAAUUUAACAUGAUGGGUGGGCAUUACUCUAAACAUAUAAAAUCAAGAGGCAGCAAGAGUGCAAUCCGAAUAUCUUUAGAAUAUAUCAGUAAAAAUUCCAACCAUUUAUAAAACAUGUCAAUAAAAAUUGCAAGGCUUGCAAGACAUCCUGGAUAAGCUGUGGAAGCUCUCAUUCCAUGACCAGAAAAUAAGACUGUCUUAUUAUAGGAUUAAGGUAAUAAAUGGCAUCAAAUACUUUGUUAAGAAUAUAUCAUGUGAUAGGAUUACGGUAAUAAAUGGCAUCAAUUACUUUGAUAACCACAUGGAACAAAAGGCGUAUAACUGCAUACCUGGUUGGCUGUCUGUCCCUUUUCAGUACAGUAUUAGUGUGCUCCAACCCAUAAAUCGUUCUUAAGCUCUUCAAAGACACCUCUUAUGUAGUACUCAAGAGAAUAAAAUAAGUCAAAAAUAACAGAUAAAACAAAUACACGGGUAUAGAAGCGGUCAAGAAUUUGUAGGAUCAUAGCGCUCUCAUGCCCUGUCUGCUUGCUCUUCAAAAGAGAACAUGUCAUUGAAGAGCGCCACAUGUCGAGAAUUUUUUCAAGUACCUCGUGGGCAACAACAACAACAAUAAGUCGUGAAAAAUUAAUCAUGUGUAACACACGUCUCAAGCAUUGACCAAGGGAGAUUCACACGGUAUAAAAAAUAAAACAACUGUUGAAAAAAAUGUGUACUAAAUGUUGUGAUGACAUUCAAAUUGUAUUUUCAAAACCAAGGCACCAUUGUGGUCAUGAUGCUGCAGAGCAAGACGCCCUCGAUUUCUCACGGGCCUAUAUGGCAGGAGACCUUGGUGAGCGUGUAUCCCGACAAUGCCAUCCCGCGUCCUGAUGACUACGACAAAGAAUUCAUUCCAGAAGUAUACCUAGCAGUUACUGUAUGGUGGCUAGGUGACUGCCCCGCCACCCCGUCCACUGUUGAGGCUGUCUCUUUUUAUAGGGGGGGCUGGCCCUAGCUGCGUCAGUGAAAACUAAAGUGACUUAUGAAUUUUAUUUUAUUUCUACCAAUCUACUCCCUCCGUUUCAAAAUAAUUGUCUUUCUAGAGAUUUCAACAAAUGACUACAUACGGAGCAAAAUGAGUGAAUCUACACUCUAAAACAUGUCUACAUACAUCCGUAUGUUGUAUUCCAUUUGAGAUGGCUAGAAAGACAAUUAUUUCGGAAUGGAGGGAGUAUAUAGCAAGCUUUUGUUGGGUUCAGACAAAUAGAAGGUUCAGAUGAAUAGACAGUGCCUAACUGGCCAGACGUCUGAACCUCUCUAGGUGCAAAUUGCAGCACACAAACAAGCAUGAUUCUCGGAUAGGUUUUCAAUUGUCAGACUUCUCCAUCUUAAAAAAAUCUGGUAUGUGUGAUCAAUACUGAAUAUAAGGUAAUCCAGGCCUCCUUUUGAAGUGAGUUAGCUUCUAAAUCUAGAUGAAGAGGUUGGCCGGGAUACAAGCUAGCCACUAUAUGAUUCAUUCAAUGCCAAGCACAUGCCAAGCAAGGCUCAAUUGCCAUCAAAUAAUUUGUGGAGGAUUCAGUCAAUGCCAAGCAAGGCUCGUUCUGAGUGACGUCAGCAUGUCUCUUUUCUGAUGACCCCUGGCUCCCGGCACCGCCACUGUGCAAUCCACCGGCAACGGACAAACAACACAUGCACAUGCCAGCAAAGAAACCACGCCAUACCUCCCGGAACUGGAACCACAUUUUGAUUUUUAUGUUUGAAUUGAAAGAUUAUUCAUGCCCAUAGAGAACUGGGUUUUCUUAUUUAUAUUUAAGCACUCAGAGAAGUAAGAAGCAUGCAAUGCAGAUGUUUUAGUGGGUGGAAGAGGAUAAAAGAAUAGAAUAAAGUUCUGAUGAUUCAGUGUUAAAUAACCAGUCCAUCCAUUGGAUAGUUUCACUGAGCCUUUGGCUUUGAUAAUGAGAAAGAAGUACCUAGUUAUUUAUAGCAGAUGUCCACCUGCGAGUCCUUUUUAUGGGGUUAACAUCACUACAAGAAACAC
This 3622-nucleotide ribosomal RNA is filed under the name Triticum aestivum (bread wheat). RNAcentral describes it as "partial small subunit ribosomal RNA". Lineage: Eukaryota; Viridiplantae; Streptophyta; Magnoliopsida; Poales; Poaceae. The record is from RNAcentral.